RNAcentral lists this ribosomal RNA (501 nucleotides) under uncultured bacterium. RNAcentral's name for it is "bacterial SSU rRNA". It matches the Rfam family "Bacterial small subunit ribosomal RNA", at positions 38 to 518 of the family's 1533-position model. The record is from RNAcentral.
GGCGGCGUGCUUAACACAUGCAAGUCGAACGCGAAAGGGACUUCGGUCCUGAGUAAAGUGGCGCACGGGUGAGUAACGCGUAGAUAACCUGUCUUCAUGUCUGGAAUAAUACGCCGAAAGGGGUACUAAUACCGGAUAUUCUUGCUUUUCAUAAGUUAUGCAAGCAAAGGUGGCCUCUGCAUAUGCUACUGCAUGAAGAGGGGUCUGCGUACCAUUAGCUAGUAGGUGGGGUAAUGGCCUACCUAGGCGACGAUGGUUAGCGGGUCUGAGAGGAUGAUCCGCCACACUGGCACUGGAACACGGGCCAGACUCCUACGGGAGGCAGCAGUGAGGAAUAUUGCGCAAUGGGGGAAACCCUGACGCAGCGACGCCGCGUGAGUUGAGGAAGGCCUUCGGGUCGUAAAGCUCUGUCAAGAGGAAAGAAGUGUACAAUGGCUAAUACCUGUUGUAUUUGACGGUACCUCUAAAGGAAGCACCGGCUAACUCCGUGCCAGCCGCCGC